GCCUUUGUGGUGUAGCGGUAAGUACGCUUGACGCGUAAUCAAGAAGUCCGUGGUUCGAUUCCCGACGAAGACG
RNAcentral lists this transfer RNA (73 nucleotides) under Stegodyphus mimosarum. It matches the Rfam family "tRNA". Rfam says of the family: Transfer RNA (tRNA) molecules are approximately 80 nucleotides in length. Their secondary structure includes four short double-helical elements and three loops (D, anti-codon, and T loops). Further hydrogen bonds mediate the characteristic L-shaped molecular structure. tRNAs have two regions of fundamental functional importance: the anti-codon, which is responsible for specific mRNA codon recognition, and the 3' end, to which the tRNAs corresponding amino acid is attached (by aminoacyl-tRNA synthetases). tRNAs cope with the degeneracy of the genetic code in two manners: having more than one tRNA (with a specific anti-codon) for a particular amino acid; and 'wobble' base-pairing, i.e. permitting non-standard base-pairing at the 3rd anti-codon position. The record is from Rfam by way of RNAcentral. Lineage: Eukaryota; Metazoa; Arthropoda; Arachnida; Araneae; Eresidae.